RNAcentral lists this ribosomal RNA (474 nucleotides) under uncultured bacterium. RNAcentral's name for it is "bacterial SSU rRNA". It matches the Rfam family "Bacterial small subunit ribosomal RNA", at positions 27 to 518 of the family's 1533-position model. The record is from RNAcentral.
GGACGAACGCUGGCGGCGUGCCUAACACAUGCAAGUCGAGCGAGGAGAUCCUUCGGGAUGAUCCUAGCGGCGGACGGGUGAGUAACACGUGGGCAACCUGCCUCAUAGAGAGGAAUAGCCUUCCGAAAGGGAGAUUAAUACCUCAUAACAUUGCAGUUUCGCAUGGAACAGCAAUUAAAGGAGUAAUCCGCUAUGAGAUGGGCCCGCGGCGCAUUAGCUAGUUGGUGAGGUAACGGCUCACCAAGGCGACGAUGCGUAGCCGACCUGAGAGGGUGAUCGGCCACAUUGGGACUGAGACACGGCCCAGACUCCUACGGGAGGCAGCAGUGGGGAAUAUUGCACAAUGGGGGAAACCCUGAUGCAGCCAACGCCGCGUGAGUGAUGACGGCCUUCGGGUUGUAAAGCUCUGUCUUCAGGGACGAUAAUGACGGUACCUGAGGAGGAAGCCACGGCUAACUACGUGCCAGCAGCAGC